CCUACGGGAGGCAGCAGUGAGGAAUAUUGGUCAAUGGACGAGAGUCUGAACCAGCCAAGUAGCGUGAAGGAUGAAUGCCCUAUGGGUGGUAAACUUCUUUUAUAAAGGAAUAAAACGAGGCACGUGUGCCUUUUUGCAUGUACUUUAUGAAUAAGGAUCGGCUAACUCCGUGCCAGCAGCCGCGGUAAUACGGAGGAUCCGAGCGUUAGCCGGAUUUAUUGGGUUUAAAGGGAGCGUAGAUGGGUUGUUAAGUUAGUUGUGAAAGUUUGCGGCUCAACCGUAAAAUUGCAAUUGAUACUGGCAGUCUUGAGUACAGUUGAGGUAGGCGGAAUUCGUGGUGUAGCGGUUAAAUGCUUAGAUAUCACGAAGAACCCCGAUUGCGAAGGCAGCUUACUAAACUGUGACUGACAUUGAUGCUCGAAAGUGUGGGUAUCAAACAGGAUUAGAUACCCUUGUAGUC
This 460-nucleotide ribosomal RNA is filed under the name uncultured bacterium. RNAcentral describes it as "partial 16S ribosomal RNA". It matches the Rfam family "Bacterial small subunit ribosomal RNA", at positions 338 to 795 of the family's 1533-position model. The record is from RNAcentral.